Molecule: long non-coding RNA, 250 nt
Filed under: Lathyrus oleraceus (garden pea)
Lineage: Eukaryota; Viridiplantae; Streptophyta; Magnoliopsida; Fabales; Fabaceae
Description: Pisum sativum (pea) long non-coding RNA (PSAT_LNC021431)
Source: RNAcentral
GGAUUUUUGGAUGGAAUUUCUCCCCUUGAGUUAUGUCCUCAUUGGGUUGAGUCCUGAUUGACCGUUUUCUUUCUAGCUCUUCCCUAGAUAGAUACUUUGGUCCCCUAAGAGUCUAUUACCCAGUAACUGGUAGUAUUCUUCUUAGUUUACAGCUUGUUACUUCUUGCCUAAUACCCGACAAAAGUACCCUUAUUUUUUUUCUCCUCAGUAGAGUCCCCAGUGGAUCUAUUCCCCAGGAAGUAUAUCCUUG